UGGUCCAGCCAAAAACUGUGACAGAGAGACAGUGUCAUCUUCUACAGUACAUGUACAGCAGCCAGUGCUACACAGCUGUCCUUUUAGAAAAUACCGUAGUUGCUUUUCAACAAUGGAAGAAAUCUAUGUCAAUGCUGAAGACAUGAAAUAUAUUGAUACCAAACACUCAACAAUUCAGACAAGUAAGAAUAUUCAGUCAGACAGAGAGGCUGACAGACUGAGCUGUGAAUAGUAUGUUUUAAUUGUAUGAUUGAUUGGAUUCACUGGUCUUUUCUCUGUUCAGGUCCAAAGACUUCAGAGAGGAGAUUUCAUGGAGCUCUUCUUGUCUUUCUGGGGCUGCUGAGUGUUUUCCUGCUGGCUGGACUCAUCGGCCUCGGCGUCUACUAGUGAGUGAAGGAAUCAGGAGAGAGGAGACAGAAGUGAGGAAGCAGGAUGUAAAGUUAAAGGUGUUGAAAGA
Thunnus maccoyii (southern bluefin tuna) is the source of this 457-nucleotide long non-coding RNA. RefSeq lists it as uncharacterized. The record is from RefSeq and is a predicted model, not a curated record. NCBI's taxonomy places the organism in Eukaryota, Metazoa, Chordata, Actinopteri, Scombriformes, Scombridae. The transcript is spliced from 2 exons.